GUAGAUCUAAACUGAAAGUAUAACAAGAGCCGAAACGCAUUGAUGAUGAGACGAGUGAAGGAGUUCGUGCAAUGCUAUCGUGUUGUUUUGUUUGGUGUUAUGGGUUCUAUGAAGCAUGGAGGCGGUGUGGUUUUCCGAUGGUGUUAUGGUUGUAAUGUUGCGUCGGCUUUAGAGAGUUUUUCGGUUGCGUUUGGUGGUUGUGUAUAUGUGUUAUGGUGGUUUAGAUUGAAAGAGGAGGAGGAUGAAAAU
This 249-nucleotide long non-coding RNA is filed under the name Lathyrus oleraceus (garden pea). Its description in RNAcentral is "Pisum sativum (pea) long non-coding RNA (PSAT_LNC034009)". Lineage: Eukaryota; Viridiplantae; Streptophyta; Magnoliopsida; Fabales; Fabaceae. The record is from RNAcentral.